This 468-nucleotide ribosomal RNA is filed under the name uncultured bacterium. RNAcentral's name for it is "partial 16S ribosomal RNA". It matches the Rfam family "Bacterial small subunit ribosomal RNA", at positions 28 to 507 of the family's 1533-position model. The record is from RNAcentral.
GACGAACGCUGGCGGCGUGCUUAACACAUGCAAGUCUAACGGAAAGGCCCUGCUUUUGUGGGGUGCUCGAGUGGCGAACGGGUGAGUAACACGUGAGUAACCUGCCCUUUACUUUGGGAUAACUUCAGGAAACUGGGGCUAAUACCUGAUAUGAGCUCCUGCUGCAUGGUGGGUGUUGGAAAGUUUCGGCGGUUGGGGAUGGACUCGCGGGUUAUCAGCUUGUUGGUGGGGUAGUGGCUUACCAAGGCUUUGACGGGUAGCCGGCCUGAGAGGGUGACCGGCCACAUUGGGACUGAGAUACGGCCCAGACUCCUACGGGAGGCAGCAGUGGGGAAUAUUGCACAAUGGGCGGAAGCCUGAUGCAGAAACGCCGCGUGCGGGAUGACGGCCUUCGGGUUGUAAACCGCUUUCGCCUGUGACGAAGAGUGAGUGACGGUAAUGGGUAAAGAAGCACCGGCUAACUACGUG